AGCUCAGGGCCUAUCUUCCUCACCAAAAAAUAAAAAAGAAUAAUAAUUCAUGAUUACUUGAAAAGAGCCUAUUCGUGAGGAUGGAGAAGGAGACAUUUCCUAGAGACAGAUUGAAAUAAGUGUAAAAGCAAGCUAUGGUUUCAGCAUCCAGCGCUGCAGUGUUCACAUUAGUUUCACCUCUGACACUUUCAAAAGUUAUAGAGAAACAACCCACGUAGACUUUUAAUUGAGUAGAUCUGAAAGCUGUUCUACUAAGGAUGUGGGGGAGUCAGAUCGGUGGUUGUUUUGACCUUUGCAGAUCACUGAGGAUGGCCAGGAAGCAAAAAACAACGGAGGGUAAAAUAGAUUAAGAACAAAAUCCACAAAAAGAAAUCCUUGAAUCUUUCUGGACUAGAGGCUGCGAAUGGAAGGAGAUGCUUUAUGAAAGAGGUGACUGUUUCCCUUUCACCCGAAAUCAAGUUGGAGAAGCUUCCAAGUGUCCAUUCAUGGGGAGCUGGCAAAGAGUAAACAGUGAAAAACGUGAUUCAGUUGUUCUACACUCCUCUCUUACCAACUGCCUCAGAUGUUUGCCUUUGUUUAUGAAAGGAGCUAAGAAAAAACCCGCAAUUAUUUCACUCUAAAUGGAGAAUUCUCCAAGAACAUCUCUAGAAGUGGACCAGCCCAGCAUCUUUAUAUGUGAAACAGAAUUUUUUUCAGUAAAAGUAGCACUUGCAGAACAACUGUCUUCAUUUUAAUUUGGAAACAUCAAAAACUAUUUU
This 758-nucleotide long non-coding RNA is filed under the name Equus asinus (donkey). RNAcentral's name for it is "lncRNA (ENSEASG00005031544.1)". The record is from RNAcentral. Lineage: Eukaryota; Metazoa; Chordata; Mammalia; Perissodactyla; Equidae.